GAUGAACGCUGGCGGCGUGCCUAAUACAUGCAAGUCGAGCGAACAGACGAGGAGCUUGCUCCUCUGACGUUAGCGGCGGACGGGUGAGUAACACGUGGAUAACCUACCUAUAAGACUGGGAUAACUUCGGGAAACCGGAGCUAAUACCGGAUAAUAUAUUGAACCGCAUGGUUCAAUAGUGAAAGACGGUUUUGCUGUCACUUAUAGAUGGAUCCGCGCCGCAUUAGCUAGUUGGUAAGGUAGCGGCUUACCAAGGCAACGAUGCGUAGCCGACCUGAGAGGAUGAUCGGCCACACUAGAACUGAGACACGGUCCAGACUCCUACGGGAGGCAGCAGUAGGGAAUCUGCCGCAAUGGGCGAAAGCCUGACUGAGCAACGCCGCGUGAGUGAUGAAGGUCUUCGGAUCGUAAAACUCGGUGAUUAGGGAAGAACAAAUGUGUAAGUAACUAUGCACGUCUUGACGGUACCUAAUCAGAAAGCCGCGGCUAACUACGUG
This 497-nucleotide ribosomal RNA is filed under the name uncultured bacterium. RNAcentral's name for it is "partial 16S ribosomal RNA". It matches the Rfam family "Bacterial small subunit ribosomal RNA", at positions 28 to 507 of the family's 1533-position model. The record is from RNAcentral.